Molecule: ribosomal RNA, 442 nt
Filed under: uncultured bacterium
Lineage: Bacteria
Description: partial 16S ribosomal RNA
Rfam family: Bacterial small subunit ribosomal RNA
Source: RNAcentral
CCUACGGGAGGCAGCAGUGGGGAAUAUUGGGCAAUGGGCGCAAGCCUGACCCAGCAACGCCGCGUGAAGGAAGAAGGCUUUCGGGUUGUAAACUUCUUUUCUCAGGGACGAAGAAGUGACGGUACCUGAGGAAUAAGCCACGGCUAACUACGUGCCAGCAGCCGCGGUAAUACGGAGGUGGCAAGCGUUAUCCGGAUUUAUUGGGUUUAAAGGGCGUGUAGGCGGUAGCGAAAGUUAGAUGUGAAAACUCAGGGCUCAACCCUGAGCCUGCAUUUGAAACUGUGUUUCUUGAGUGCUGGGGAGGCAAUCGGAAUGCAGGGUGUAGCGGUGAAAUGCGUAGAUAUACGGAGGAACACCAGUGGCGAAGGCAGAUUGCUGGACAGUAACUGACGCUGAGGCGCGAAAGCGUGGGGAGCAAACAGGAUUAGAUACCCCAGUAGUC